Long non-coding RNA from Eptesicus fuscus (big brown bat), 1737 nucleotides. RefSeq lists it as uncharacterized. Lineage: Eukaryota; Metazoa; Chordata; Mammalia; Chiroptera; Vespertilionidae. The record is from RefSeq and is a predicted model, not a curated record. The transcript is spliced from 3 exons.
CCGCGCAGGCGUAGUCCUCUGACUCGCGGGCCGCGCUCGGGUGUGCGGAGCGUGCACCAGCGUGCGCACCCCCUCCGGUGCGUGGAAAUGGAGGCAGAGAGGGCGCGCCCCCGUUGUGCUGGUGUCCGUCACCAUUAAGUCUGGGGAUGGAAAUAGCGAAGAGGAGCUUUGAACCCCUCGCCCGGCCGGGUAGUGCAGCUGUCACCCGGCCCGCCCUAGCGCCCUGCCUAAAUCGGAGGCUCCUUCCGAACAGUGCCCCAGCCUGCGCCCCCCUCUCCGGACGUGGGCCAGGAGGGUACCAGCCAGGCCGCCCCGACAGCCGCGCUACCGCUCCGAGCCUCGCGGGGUCACAGCACCCUACUGAGGGUUUGGGAGAUUGAAGCGCCCAAGCUGCGCUCUUUGCCAAGCCAGCGCCCACCGUGGCCUCGGACAGACACUUCGGUCUCCAAGGCACCCGCUCUGGGAGCUCCAAAGAGAGGGCGCGGCCAGCUCUACCCCUUCCCAAGGAGGGUUUGAGACUGACAUCUUGACACUGAGAACAACACCCUUCCUCGUUCUGAUGCCAGCAGCUUGCAGAUGGUUGAUGCUGGAGCGCUGGAGGCGGGUGUCACACACCUUUCCCCGGUGUUUUCUCAAGAACUACGCCAUCUGCAGAGAAGACUGGCACAGCAGGGAGGGUGAGGACAUAUGAACAUUGCAGAAAACAAAAUAUGUCAACUGCAGCUGCUGUCAUUUGAAGGCUUAUUUGGGCUGGACAUCCAAGAUGGCACACUCUGUGGCUGACGGUUGAUGCUGGCUGUUGGCUGUCUGGAAGCUCAGCUGAGACUAUGAACCAGAGCCUUCCCAAUCCCUCCAGCAUGGCAGACUUCUCACAUGGCAUCUGGCUUCCCUCAGAGUGAGUGUCUGAAAGGACCAGACUCAUGGCCUUUUCAGAAUUAUCCUAAGAAGUCGUGCUGCAUCACUUGCACUUUAUUCUACUAGCUACCAGCAAGCCACAAAAGCCAUCUCAGAUUCAAAAGAAGGGAAUGUAGAGCCCUCACCUCUCCCCAACGAAAUGGGGACAUGUUUUAAAGCUGCUCAAUUUCAUACUCCGUGGGCUCAUAUUUAUCUGUCCAUAAACAUACCUACAGGCAACAAGACUGUGACUGCCCACAACCAACAUAAAAAGUGUGCAUACACAUAAAAUACCCAGACACAUGCAUGCAUGAACACACACCUAUGUGACUUUUUCAGGGUAAUAUUUUGUAACUUUUCCCCCUUCCAGGCUUCCCAUCAUAUUUGAGAUUGGGGAGGGAGAUUGACCAAGCUAAAUAUAAAUAAUAGGGCUAUGAAAUGCCUUUUGUUCAAACUUUAAACUCAGAUUUUUAGUGAGGCCUCCAAAUCGUACAUCUACUUUUAAAAAAUGACUCUAUCGCCCUAACUGGUUUGACUCAGUGGAUAGAGCGUCGGCCUGUGGACUGAAGGGUCCCAGGGUCAAUUCCAGUCAAGGGCAUGCACCUUGGUUUCGGGCACAUCCCCAGUGGGGAGUAUGUAGGAGGCAGCUGAAUCAAUGUUUCUCUCUCAUUGAUGUUUCUAACUCUCUAUUCCUCUCCCUCUCCAUUCCUCUCUGUAAAAAAUCAAUAAAAUAUAUAUUUUGGGAAAAAAAAGACUCUAUCUUUGAGCCCAGCAGAAAGGUCAGUAGAAGGAUUUUGAAUGUUCCUGUUUGUUUUGGAAGAAAAAUAAGGAGUCCAUUCUGAC